RNA transcript from Ornithorhynchus anatinus (platypus), 1216 nucleotides. It is a transcript of the gene named chromosome 2 C16orf90 homolog, with no coding region annotated. The record is from RefSeq and is a predicted model, not a curated record. The transcript is spliced from 4 exons. NCBI's taxonomy places the organism in Eukaryota, Metazoa, Chordata, Mammalia, Monotremata, Ornithorhynchidae.
UCCAGAGUGUAGACUGAGAAUGGACCAGAGGAAUGCCCGGUUAGCUUCUCUGGCCUGCUCUCUUGGACAGAGAUGGACGCCUUGGCCAGUGCUUUUUCUCAACUGCGGAUAAGAGAAGAUGAACUGAGCCAGGCGGCGGACGACACUGGCUCUUCGGACAUGCCCCCUGACAUCUACGAGGGGGGCCUGGGGGCCCGAAGGCCACCGUGCUCCAGCCCGCCCGGAAGCAAGCCCAAGAACUUCCGCCUGCGGCACCUACGCGGGCUGAAUUCCUACCUGCCCAGCGACCUCCGGCCCGCCGGCCAGUGUGAAAGCCACUGGCUGUGGAGGCUCAUGAGCGGAACCUGUCCCCCGCUCCCUCGGGUGCCAGCCGGGGGUGGGGCCGGGACACUGCGGACUCUUUUCCCGGAAGGCCAGACAUGCCCUAAGACAGCCUUCCCGGCCCUCCCUGCGUCCGCGGAGAGCCCCGGGACUAGCCGCCAGCAGGAGAGCUUGGCUCCGGGUUCCGUCAAGGAUACGACAGAGGCUUCCCCCUCCCAGGCCAGACCCAGACCCGGGCCCAGGCCCAAAAGGUCCAGGUUGGCCUCGCAGAAGUCUGCAUACCCCGCGUGCAAGAGAACACGCCCUGAUAGCCACGAGGGGCCACGGCAGGGCCCAGAGGCGGAGCUAGGAUGCUCACAGGAAAAAGGGGAACUGAGUGCAGAGACGUCUGACCUCGCCUAAAGGGCCCGUGGAGGGGAAGAGCUGAGAGAGACCCCGGGCGGGGGAGGACGGCCUCUUGCCGCCACCACAGCCUACCAGCCAGCCGGUCGGGCGGCCCUGGAAGAGAAUGCCAAACGGUCCAGGGCCACCGAGAGAAGAAGCGGGGUGGCCCAUGCCCCGGUGGCCAGGAGAAGAAGAAGCAGGAGUCGGGGCACCGGGAGGCUCUGCUCUCAGGGCAUUCAGGAACCGGCAUGACACCGCAGACAAGAAGCAAGGCAGAACAUCCCAGCCGGGCCGGCGGCAUCAGGGUUUCAGACUCGGGAGACUCCUCCAGAACUCUAACCAACAAACCCCGAAGUUCCAUUUUCAGUUAAUACUGAACAGUGCUGAAUGCUUUCUCCCCUGGCGUCACACUUGCGAUCCCACGAGCCCCAGGGAGGGUAGGUGAUGAGAGGUCAGGGGAACGUGUUAUUUCGGUCGAGUCCCCUAAUAUACCAAAAGCUGAGCAUCUGAU